GCCACCACAGGCACCACCAGGACACAGAGUGCAAACAGGAACCACACUUGCUGCUGCCUCUCAGGACACAGGACCUGGAGCUGUGCUUAUUCAGGUGCCUGGCGGGGAGGAGGUACUCGGUCUGCGCACAGAAGCUGUAUGUUUGGCCUGCUGGUUGUCCAGCAGCUCCUCAGAAACCAGAAGCAGCCUUAAGGGAGUGCCUGUCGGGGAGGAUGUGCCCCACUCGACUGUUCGAGUUUCCUAGAAACUCAAAUCCAGAAAAAUAAGGCUACCGCCACGCGCCGACUGACAACCUACGCAGUAAUCCUGCCCCAGCAGCAGGACCUGACGAGUGGCUUCCGGGUGACACUCGGUGACAGCUGCAGGGACUGAAGUCGGUUCUAGGACACGGGAGCCCUAAGCUACCCGCAACAAUAAAGCCAUCUGUCUGACCAACCGAACUAGAGCCAAGACACACACGGGAGAUUCUGAACAGAGAAGUCUGACAACAGGAAAAACGUAAACCACACACUUCUAAACUCCUAGACAUUUUAAACAGUGUUAGAAAAAGAAACUUAAGUGAAGGAAAACUACAGACAAACCGACAAUCGACAGAAGACACGCCACUAAUGUCAGAGCUUCAUGUGGAUACGCUCAGGCAAGAAACUCAGUGAUAUACCAAACUCUUGGGAAAACACUGCAAUUUGGCACCUGGGCUAAAAAACCGAAAUGAUUACAGGAAAUGCCAUCUAUUUGCGUCUGUGACGUAAGUCAUGAACACUAAUGAUGUCUAUCAAACACAACAACUUUUGGAGACAUCUGAUCAUGUGCACAGUACUGUGCACAAUUUAUGAAAA
Non-coding RNA from Peromyscus maniculatus bairdii (prairie deer mouse), 836 nucleotides. The record is from RefSeq and is a predicted model, not a curated record. Lineage: Eukaryota; Metazoa; Chordata; Mammalia; Rodentia; Cricetidae.